This 424-nucleotide ribosomal RNA is filed under the name uncultured bacterium. Its description in RNAcentral is "bacterial SSU rRNA". It matches the Rfam family "Bacterial small subunit ribosomal RNA", at positions 355 to 775 of the family's 1533-position model. The record is from RNAcentral.
UGAGGAAUAUUGGUCAAUGGGCGCAAGCCUGAACCAGCCAUCCCGCGUGCAGGAAGACGGCGCUAUGCGUUGUAAACUGCUUUUCCAGGGGGAGAAACUUGCGCACGUGUUGCGCAAUUGACGGUACCCUGGGAAUAAGCAUCGGCUAAUUCCGUGCCAGCAGCCGCGGUAAUACGGAGGAUGCGAGCGUUAUCCGGAUUCAUUGGGUUUAAGGGGUGCGUAGGCGGACUAUUAAGUCAGUGGUGAAAUCCUGCAGCUUAACUGCAGAACUGCCAUUGAUACUGAUAGCCUUGAGUUUGGUUAAGGUAGGCGAAAUGUGUAAUGUAGCGGUGAAAUGCUUAGAUAUUACACAGAACACCAAUUGCGUAGGCAGCUUACUGAGCCGACACUGACGCUGAGGCACGAAAGCGUGGGGAUCGAACAG